UGGCCGGCUGCUGUGCCCACUGGGUCC
This 27-nucleotide non-coding RNA is filed under the name Mus musculus (house mouse). Lineage: Eukaryota; Metazoa; Chordata; Mammalia; Rodentia; Muridae. The record is from RNAcentral.